GCCAAUACAGUGUUCCAGUAAUAUCUGAAACCGAAGACAGCUGCCUCAUCAAAGCAUUGAUGGGGGCAUCAGAUCAUUACCGUAAGAAUAGCGGGCUCCGCGAAUGGGCGUGCCUGGACCAGUGCUAAUGAGCUGAGACAGAAAACUUUACCUCUUGUAUGCUGCCGUCUGACAGAGAUAACUGUAUGGCCAACACCUCUGUGGAGAGUUGCCAGUCAACCAAAAUGACUCAUCACCUACUCUGUGAUGGCUUAUAUGAAGCAUCAGUUUGUUCACAAUGCAUUCGUCCUCUCUUAUCAUUGAUGCAUUCCUUCCAUUGAGAAGCCCCAUUUAGUACCUUGCACACUUUUGACCUGCUGAACUGAUAGAGUCACACUCUAUAAUGACUGAAAUAAAUAUGCACACAUGCUAACACACCCACAAGUUAUUUCACAGUAAUCAUGCUGAAAUAUCUUAUGUUUAUCUUUCCAUGGGACAGCUGUAUACAUAAGGCUUCCUGAUAAAUUACCAUUUGAGAGGGACAAAAAUAGACCACUUCAUGACAAGAACAGAGAGAGCCCGGAAGGAAGAGAGAAGAAAUACGUGAUAAAUGACUGGACUCUCAGUAACAUCUCAAACAUGGGAGAGGGGAGGUAGAGAAAGGUGGACAGCAGACAGUGAGCAUUUGUGUCAGCACUGUCAUGCCAUGACGGCACCUGAAAGUAUCAAGGAAGACACUGUGAUGUAUCAGGAUCAAGGCUGAUUACGUCUGGCUGUUGAGGGGCAGAAGUAGUUUUCCAUCGAAAGUCACCUGGAAGAGAUUGAGUGUAUUUCCCUCUCUCUCUCUCUCUCUCUCUCUCUCCCUCACUCUCUACAAUAAGAGAACCUGUUUUUAAGACAGGAAUUUAUUCUCACUGGGCAGACAAGUCACUGGUGUCUUAGAGCAUUGUAAAAUGUGGAGGAGUACAACUUCAUGGACGAUUAUGUCAUACAGGGACUCAGAGACAAACAUGCUGUAUGUAGUAGUUUAGAGUUUGUUUUAAUUUGUGUCUGUGCUUGCUUUAUUUUCGGAACUUUUUAGAUACCAUUAGGUUGAAUGAUGCAGACAGACUUAACUCUCAAUGCAUAAGAUUUGGUGCAAAACUGUGACAUAAAUGUUCACUGAUGCAAACAACAUCGGUGUAACUAACAGUGUUUGUUUCAUAAAAUGCAUGUGCACAUUCAAGUAUCACACACAAACCCAUUCAAAAAAAUCCACUUUCAGACAUCUUGCCAUUUGCAAAAUAUGAGGCACAGUGAUAAUUUGGUGUCUGUUUUCUGUUAUGAGGAUAUGGGGGUUCUGUAAGGUCACACAGGACAAACUCUUUUUUAACUCUUUUAACUACUUCAGAGAAAGUACAGACAACAUUUGAGUCUUGAAUCAAAACAUCCAACCCCAAAUUUCACCAGAAAUUCCUGCUAAUUCAGACCCAGCUUUCAGGCAUUCCACACAGUGCAGAAAUGACAAAUGAAACUGGUCCACUCCUUAAAGUGAUUGUCAACAACUCCAUCUGUGUCUCUCAGACUGACCUUUAAUUAGAGAGUUAAAUAAGGGUUAAAAUGUCAGUUGAGGAGGGUUUGAAAUGAGAAGUAUCACACUGAAAAGAAAGGAAUGUCCCACUCAUAGACAAGUGCCCUGUAAAAUUGUCCAGGAGAGGACGAUGUAUGCUACAAGGUGAAUUUCUGUACUGCUGGAAAAAUCCCAGAGGCACAAGGAGUUUAUGAGCCUCUAAGUAACCUUGAAACAAGAGCAAGACCUCCAGAGAGCAUGUCUAUGAUAUUUAACUUGUACAAGUCACCAAUUAAAAACUAAUCAUUAACACCAAUAGGCUGAUAAAAGUGAAUUUUCUCUAACUGGUUUUGUGUCGAAAUACAAAAAGCUGUAGAUAGAAAAGCAAGAAAGACAGAUAUGUGUAUGAUAGAUAGAUAGACACAGACAGAUGAUAGAUAGAUAGAUAGAUAGAUAGAUAGAUAGAUAGAUAGACAGACAAUAGAAUAAGAGGGAUGAGUUUAGUUUAAAACCAUGCUGUGAAAAUGGAGAUGCUGUCUUUCCAUGGGCCCAUUGCCAAAGCAUAGGAUUAGUAACACCCUGAAAUCCCCCCUCCUCAUUCCAUUACGCACGCCAGUCAUGGACUCCCAUGCAGGCCAUGAGAGUGGAAUUGUGAUGGUGAAAUAAAUGUUCUCAAAACCACUCAUUUGGAAACAGCCUAUAGAUAUGCAAAGCUCUAUCCGAGGCCAAAAUCAACUAACUUUAUGCAUUCUUGUCCUCAGCAUUUGUUCCCUGUAAAGGCCUGUUAACAGACUGCAAUAAAAUUAUAGUACACUAUUCACAGAAAGUAACUUUGUAUUCAAGGAGAAAGUAAUUCCUAGAGACGUAGAGAAUUAUAUAUUUCCCCAGUGUAUCCAAGCAUCCCUGCUGAUAAUGAUGUAAAGAAUUCUGUACAGAUUUCUUAGAAAUGGUAUGUUCACCUGUAGCCCUGCCUACUCUUGUGAGUGCACAUGUACCUUGCAGUGCAAACUUUUUCUAAAAGUCAGUGAACGCCUUAGUUUUGUCAAGGUCUUAUUUUGAUAGUUCACCCAAAAAUGAAAAUUCUCUCAUCAUUUACUCACCCAUGCCAUCCCAGAUGUGUAUGAUUUUCUUUCUUCUGCAGAACACAAACGAAGAUUUUAAGAAGAAUAUUUUGGCACUGUAGCUCCAUACAAUGCAAUGAUUAUUUACUCACCCUAAUGUUGCACCCAACCUGGAUGUUUUUUUCUUCUUCCGUGGAACACAAAUGUAAUUUAAAAAAAAGUCUUCACAGGGAUUAUUUGCCAUAAUUUAAGUUACAGUAAUAGUGACUCCAGUCUGUCAAGCUCAAAAAGUGACAAAAAAAAAAAAAAACCUAGAUGGAUUUAAAACAUGAUUUAAAAUGUACCUUAACAUUUCAAAUAAUUUAAAAAUGGAGUAAGAACAGAAAGGAGGAAAGAUUAUGGAGAAAAGACAAGAGGAAAGGGGAACAUGCCACAACAUUGAUUGACUUUUUGUGUCCAUUUCAGUUUGACCUUGAAAUAGAGGUCACUGUCUGUGUGGCUGUAUUCUUAUGUACUCAGCAUGUACCCUUGUUUUGUUGUGUGAAAUGAAAUGAAAACGUGACGACAGCUUGAAAAUUAAACAUUAUUAGACAGGAUUCUGGCUUUCACCUUUCCUGUACCACUGACUUGUCUUGUGACUGGACACAAAGAACAAUGGAGUAAGGAGGUGAGCAGAGGAAGGAGACAUGACAGAAAGGAGGAAAGAGGAGGGAAUAAGGAGGCGUGGCGUUUAUAAGGUCAGCAGAAUCAGGUUUCCUGUCCUGGGUUAUUAUCAUUAAUGUGGGAAUUGAAAUCUGCUCAAUAACCAUUGACACAACUGACUCAGACGUACAGCUUGCUCCCACUAUUAACCACAGAGGUUACUGAAUAGGUCACAAUUAUGUUUCGAAAUGUUGAUUCCCAGGGCCUAGUGUAUUCCAAUAAUGCUAUAUUUGUUAUUUUGAGUGAAACAUUAUCAUUAGAGAUUAUUGUCAAAGCUUCGGGGUGGAAGCCACUUACACUUCAGAAGUCUCCAUUGUUGGUUUAAGUGUUCACACAUUGAAGUGGUUAGGGGUGUAGUAUUUUUAAUAGGUAACCUAGCCCCUCAGAGUUGUAAGAGGAGAUAUACUGUUGCAGAAAGAAGGAGAUAGAGGUAUUUACACUGACCUAUACAACAGUAGGAACCUGGAAAAGGUCCUGUUUUCUAUUCAGCCAUUUAGAUGUUCUUUUUUUGGCUUGCUGAACAACAGUGAGAGUAGA
Myxocyprinus asiaticus (Chinese sucker) is the source of this 3828-nucleotide long non-coding RNA. RefSeq lists it as uncharacterized. The transcript is spliced from 5 exons. NCBI's taxonomy places the organism in Eukaryota, Metazoa, Chordata, Actinopteri, Cypriniformes, Catostomidae. The record is from RefSeq and is a predicted model, not a curated record.